RNAcentral lists this unclassified non-coding RNA (281 nucleotides) under uncultured fungus. RNAcentral describes it as "sequence contains ITS1, 5.8S rRNA gene". The stretch from base 233 to 281 matches the Rfam family "5.8S ribosomal RNA", at positions 1 to 49 of the family's 154-position model. Lineage: Eukaryota; Fungi. The record is from RNAcentral.
UUUCCGUAGGUGAACCUGCGGAAGGAUCAUUAAUGAAUGAAUGUAGAGUCGGUUGUAGCUGGCCUCCCCGGAGGCAUGUGCACGCCUGCUCUUUCAUCCACACACCCCUGUGCACCCGUGAGACGGGAGGCUUUGGCCCGAUUUAAAAACCGGGCCUCGGUUCCCCCGUCUGUAUAACACAAACUCCAUUUAUCUGAAUGUAAACCUGACGCUAAGCGUCUGAACUAAUACAAAGUUUCAACAACGGAUCUCUUGGCUCUCGCAUCGAUGAAGAACGUAGC